GACGAACGCUGGCGGCGUGCCUAAUACAUGCAAGUAGAACGCUGAAGGAGGAGCUUGCUUCUCUGGAUGAGUUGCGAACGGGUGAGUAACGCGUAGGUAACCUGCCUGGUAGCGGGGGAUAACUAUUGGAAACGAUAGCUAAUACCGCAUAAGAGUAGAUGUUGCAUGACAUUUGCUUAAAAGGUGCAAUUGCAUCACUACCAGAUGGACCUGCGUUGUAUUAGCUAGUUGGUGAGGUAACGGCUCACCAAGGCGACGAUACAUAGCCGACCUGAGAGGGGGAUCGGCCACACUGGGACUGAGACACGGCCCAGACUCCUACGGGGGGCAGCAGUAGGGAAUCUUCGGCAAUGGACGGAAGUCUGACCGAGCAACGCCGCGUGAGUGAAGAAGGUUUUCGGAUCGUAAAGCUCUGUUGUAAGAGAAGAACGAGUGUGAGAGUGGAAAGUUCACACUGUGACGGUAUCUUACCAGAAAGGGACGGCUAACUACGUG
This 495-nucleotide ribosomal RNA is filed under the name uncultured bacterium. RNAcentral's name for it is "partial 16S ribosomal RNA". It matches the Rfam family "Bacterial small subunit ribosomal RNA", at positions 28 to 507 of the family's 1533-position model. The record is from RNAcentral.